RNAcentral lists this ribosomal RNA (474 nucleotides) under uncultured organism. Its description in RNAcentral is "partial 16S ribosomal RNA". It matches the Rfam family "Bacterial small subunit ribosomal RNA", at positions 333 to 798 of the family's 1533-position model. The record is from RNAcentral.
ACACUCCUGCGGGAGGCAGCAGUGGGGAAUAUUGCACAAUGGGCGCAAGCCUGAUGCAGCCAUGCCGCGUGUAUGAAGAAGGCCUUCGGGUUGUAAAGUACUUUCAGCGGGGAGGAAGGCAAUACGGUUAAUAACCGUGUUGAUUGACGUUACCCGCAGAAGAAGCACCGGCUAACUCCGUGCCAGCAGCCGCGGUAAUACGGAGGGUGCAAGCGUUAAUCGGAAUUACUGGGCGUAAAGCGCACGCAGGCGGUCUGUCAAGUCGGAUGUGAAAUCCCCGGGCUCAACCUGGGAACUGCAUUCGAAACUGGCAGGCUUGAGUCUUGUAGAGGGGGGUAGAAUUCCAGGUGUAGCGGUGAAAUGCGUAGAGAUCUGGAGGAAUACCGGUGGCGAAGGCGGCCCCCUGGACAAAGACUGACGCUCAGGUGCGAAAGCGUGGGGAGCAAACAGGAUUAGAAACCCCUGUAGUCCCAU